CGUCGCAAGACCAAAGAGGGGGACCUUCGGGCCUCUUGCCAUCGGAUGUGCCCAGAUGGGAUUAGCUAGUAGGUGGGGUAACGGCUCACCUAGGCGACGAUCCCUAGCUGGUCUGAGAGGAUGACCAGCCACACUGGAACUGAGACACGGUCCACACUCCUACGGGAGGCAGCAGUGGGGAAUAUUGCACAAUGGGCGCAAGCCUGAUGCAGCCAUGCCGCGUGUAUGAAGAAGGCCUUCGGGUUGUAAAGUACUUUCAGCGGGGAGGAAGGGAGUAAAGUUAAUACCUUUGCUCAUUGACGUUACCCGCAGAAGAAGCACCGGCUAACUCCGUGCCAGCAGCCGCGGUAAUACGGAGGGUGCAAGCGUUAAUCGGAAUUACUGGGCGUAAAGCGCACGCAGGCGGUUUGUUAAGUCAGAUGUGAAAUCCCCGGGCUCAACCUGGGAACUGCAUCUGAUACUGGCAAGCUUGAGUCUCGUAGAGGGGGGUAGAAUUCCAGGUGUAGCGGUGAAAUGCGUAGAGAUCUGGAGGAAUACCGGUGGCGAAGGCGGCCCCCUGGACGAAGACUGACGCUCAGGUGCGAAAGCGUGGGGAGGCAAACAGGAUUAGAUACCCUGGUAGUCCACGCCGUAAACGAUGUCGACUUGGAGGUUGUGCCCUUGAGGCGUGGCUUUCCGGAGCUAACGCGUUAAGUCGACCGCCUGGGGAGUACGGCCGCAAGGUUAAAACUCAAAUGAAUUGACGGGGGCCCGCACAAGCGGUGGAGCAUGUGGUUUAAUUCGAUGCAACGCGAAGAACCUUACCUGGUCUUGACAUCCACGGAAGUUUUCAGAGAUGAGAAUGUGCCUUCGGGAACCGUGAGACAGGUGCUGCAUGGCUGUCGUCAGCUCGUGUUGUGAAAUGUUGGGUUAAGUCCCGCAACGAGCGCAACCCUUAUCCUUUGUUGCCAGCGGUCCGGCCGGGAACUCAAAGGAGACUGCCAGUGAUAAACUGGAGGAAGGUGGGGAUGACGUCAAGUCAUCAUGGCCCUUACGACCAGGGCUACACACGUGCUACAAUGGCGCAUACAAAGAGAAGCGACCUCGCGAGAGCAAGCGGACCUCAUAAAGUGCGUCGUAGUCCGGAUUGGAGUCUGCAACUCGACUCCAUGAAGUCGGAAUCGCUAGUAAUCGUGGA
RNAcentral lists this ribosomal RNA (1177 nucleotides) under Escherichia sp. UIWRF0668. Its description in RNAcentral is "bacterial SSU rRNA". It matches the Rfam family "Bacterial small subunit ribosomal RNA", at positions 191 to 1348 of the family's 1533-position model. Lineage: Bacteria; Pseudomonadati; Pseudomonadota; Gammaproteobacteria; Enterobacterales; Enterobacteriaceae. The record is from RNAcentral.